UGGGGAAUAUUGCACAAUGGGCGAAAGCCUGAUGCAGCAACGCCGCGUGAGUGAUGAAGGUCUUCGGAUUGUAAAGCUCUGUCUUUUGGGACGAUAAUGACGGUACCAAAGGAGGAAGCCACGGCUAACUACGUGCCAGCAGCCGCGGUAAUACGUAGGUGGCGAGCGUUGUCCGGAUUUACUGGGCGUAAGGGUGCGUAGGCGGAUGUUUAAGUGAGAUGUGAAAUACCCGGGCUUAACUUGGGUGCUGCAUUUCAAACUGGAUAUCUAGAGUGCAGGAGAGGAGAAUGGAAUUCCUAGUGUAGCGGUGAAAUGCGUAGAGAUUAGGAAGAACACCAGUGGCGAAGGCGAUUCUCUGGACUGUAACUGACGCUGAGGCACGAAAGCGUGGGUAGCAAACAGGAUUAGAUACCCUGGUAGUCCACGCCGUAAACGAUGAGUACUAGGUGUAGGAGGUAUCGACCCCCUUCUNUGCCGCAGUAAACACAUUAAGUACUCCGCCU
This 503-nucleotide ribosomal RNA is filed under the name uncultured bacterium. RNAcentral describes it as "partial 16S ribosomal RNA". It matches the Rfam family "Bacterial small subunit ribosomal RNA", at positions 355 to 874 of the family's 1533-position model. The record is from RNAcentral.